AAAAAAGUGUUGCAACAAAUUACUUGUUCAUUCUUCUGCAUCUCAUACACCAAUACCCUUUCCUUUCUCCUAAAAAUGGCGACUGUCAUCCUCAAAAAAACCCUAAAUUCCUUAAACCCCAACUCCAUACUCCUCCGAUCCCUCUCUUCCACCGCCACCGCCACCGCCACCGCCACUGCCGGCCAACCUCAAUCCGAUACAACCUCCUCAUCCUUCACCUUUUCGUCCGACCAUAACAAUGACACCAACAACCCUAAUGGCGAUGAGAUAUACAUCAAAGCACGCAAGCCUGCACCUUCCACAUCAGUCACCAUGCCGAUGUCGUUCAUGACCGGAUCGGUAGUCGGUAAGAGGUUCUACAAGCAAGUGACAACAAGACCGGCUGAUGAUGGUGUCGGUUGGUCUGUUAUGCUUGAUUACCGGACGCUUAAAACCCCUUCCAAGAGGCCUCUUAAGUGCUCUACUUUGUCUCUUGCUAAAGCUAUUGCUGCUGAGUGGGAGUUUCAGCUUACAGAUGGAAUCCGGCCAUUUACAAUGCCUCUAAUGAAACUUGCAUGUACUGCUUUGGAGAGAGUUCCACUCACCAGGCCAAAAAUAAUUGAUAGUUUAAUGGCAAGGUUUAAUCAAGAUUUGGUCUUUUGCCGUGCCCCGGAUGAUAAUGUUUUGACAAGUGGCGUCCACGAGCUGCAAGUGAAGAAAAUCGAUCCUUUGCUCAAAUGGGUCGAGUCAGAGUUCGGUUUUAAGCCUGUUGUAUAUUCCAGCUUUUUCGGGGGGAAGCAGGAGGAUGGCCUUGUAAAGGCGGUUGAAAACGUUCUUAAGAAAACCAAUGAUAACGAACUGGCGGCUAUUGAUGCACUUGCUUCUGCGUCACACUCGUUGAUAAUUUCAAUUGCAAUAUUCCGCGGGAGACUACAAAUUCACGAAGCGAUUGAAUUGAUUAGACUUGAAGAAGAUAUGCAGGUGGAAAAGUGGGGUCUGGUAGAAGGCGGUCAUGAUCUUGAUGUUGCAGAUCUUAAAGUGCAAAUAUCAUCUGCUGCGGUUUUUCUUGGACUCACUAAACAGUUUUGAAGUGGUGUGUAAAAUUACCAUUUUGCCAUUGGCUCGGCUUUAUCAGUGCCGUUUUGCCAUUAUCAUUCUUUCGUAGGUGUUAAAGUUGAAACUAAGCGUCAGCUAAUAAGUGUCUCUCUAGCGGCGCAUCGGUUCUAUCUGCAUCAACACAAUGAAUAGGUUCUUGAUCGAAAACAUGAGUACAUCAAAAGUUUUGGUUUUAUUUUAGAAGUUUAUACCGUAGUUUAAGGUUCUUCAUCUUCACAACAUUGGGUGCAAAUUGGUGGUUGUUUCUUGAUGUCACAGUAGCAACAAGAGAUAUCACAGUUACUGCUGCAUCCUAUCAAAACCAGUUUUUUCA
RNA transcript from Helianthus annuus (common sunflower), 1408 nucleotides. It is a transcript of the gene named ATP synthase mitochondrial F1 complex assembly factor 2, with no coding region annotated. Lineage: Eukaryota; Viridiplantae; Streptophyta; Magnoliopsida; Asterales; Asteraceae. The transcript has 5 exons. The record is from RefSeq and is a predicted model, not a curated record.